Molecule: long non-coding RNA, 99 nt
Organism: Cucurbita maxima (winter squash)
Lineage: Eukaryota; Viridiplantae; Streptophyta; Magnoliopsida; Cucurbitales; Cucurbitaceae
Exons: 3
Source: RefSeq, a predicted model, not a curated record
AUAGAGAGUCGUACACCUCUGUGACUCAGCUCGACGACAUGCCUCGCCGCGACCAGGUAUGUAGUCUAACCUUGUUUAAUAGGCUACGAGUAGUUGCAA